UGAACAAACUGGACGAGCUUACGUCCUCUCAGGUUUGAGCUCACAUUCUUGGCAAAGAGCGACAACUAGAGGAGACACGACAUCACAAAUAUUACUGCAAGGUGGUAGCUCAAGCAAUAGUGGCGCCACCAUGUAUGAAACUCCAUCUAUGGUCAGCAUGAUCUCAAAGUCACAGAACCUAAGUCUUGUUAAUCGAUCUGAACAAGUUCCGCGCCCCAACAAGUCAAGCAACUUACCUCCUCCACCAUCCUAGCAAACAUUUCUGACCUCAUUCGUUCUCAGUGUGAUAGGCAAUUGAACACAGCACCACUCUUUUAGUGAUCAAAUUCUGUGGCAUUUGACUCUGCUAUACUUUUUGUUUUUUGGUUCCAUUUAUUUGUUUCUUUUAGUUCUUCAAGGAUCAUUUGCAUAUCAGAUUCUUUUAGAGACCAACAACUCUGCAUAUUGUAAUAAUA
RNAcentral lists this unclassified non-coding RNA (455 nucleotides) under Hevea brasiliensis (rubber tree). The record is from RNAcentral. Lineage: Eukaryota; Viridiplantae; Streptophyta; Magnoliopsida; Malpighiales; Euphorbiaceae.